This 506-nucleotide ribosomal RNA is filed under the name uncultured bacterium. RNAcentral describes it as "partial 16S ribosomal RNA". It matches the Rfam family "Bacterial small subunit ribosomal RNA", at positions 29 to 523 of the family's 1533-position model. The record is from RNAcentral.
AGUGAACGCUGGCGGUAGGCCUAACACAUGCAAGUCGAACGGCAGCACAGGAGAGCUUGCUCUCUGGGUGGCGAGUGGCGGACGGGUGAGGAAUACAUCGGAAUCUACUCUGUCGUGGGGGAUAACGUAGGGAAACUUACGCUAAUACCGCAUACGACCUACGGAUGAAAGCAGGGGAUCUUCGGACCUUGCGCGAUUGAAUGAGCCGAUGUCGGAUUAGCUAGUUGGCGGGGUAAAGGCCCACCAAGGCGACGAUCCGUAGCUGGUCUGAGAGGAUGAUCGACCACACUGGAACUGAGACACGGUCCAGACUCCUACGGGAGGCAGCAGUGGGGAAUAUUGGACAAUGGGCGCAAGCCUGAUCCAGCCAUACCGCGUGGGUGAAGAAGGCCGUCGGGUUGUAAAGCCCUUUUGUUGGGAAAGAAAUCCAGCUGGCUAAUACCCGGUUGGGAUGACGGUACCCAAAGAAUAAGCACCGGCUAACUUCGUGCCAGCAGCCGCCGUAA